AUGUUCCUUUUUAUUUUUGUUUCGAAUUGGUCGGGUGCUCUUUUACCUUGGAAAAUUAUAGAGUUACCCCAUGGGGAAUUAGCAGCGCCCACGAAUGAUAUAAAUACUACUGUUGCUUUAGCUUUACUCACGUCAGCGGCAUAUUUUUAUGCUGGUCUUAGCAAAAAAGGAUUGAGCUAUUUCGAGAAAUAUAUUAAACCAACUCCAAUCCUUUUACCAAUUAACAUCCUAGAAGAUUUCACAAAACCAUUGUCACUUAGCUUUCGACUUUUCGGGAAUAUAUUGGCGGAUGAAUUAGUCGUUGUUGUUCUUGUUUCUUUAGUCCCCUUAGUAAUCCCUAUACGGGUCAUGUUUCUUGGAUUAUUUACAAGCGGUAUUCAAGCUCUUAUUUUUGCAACAUUAGCCGCAGCCUAUAUAGGUGAAUCCAUGGAGGGUCAUCAUUGA
RNAcentral lists this ribosomal RNA (444 nucleotides) under Triticum aestivum (bread wheat). RNAcentral describes it as "partial small subunit ribosomal RNA". Lineage: Eukaryota; Viridiplantae; Streptophyta; Magnoliopsida; Poales; Poaceae. The record is from RNAcentral.